This 537-nucleotide ribosomal RNA is filed under the name uncultured bacterium. RNAcentral describes it as "bacterial SSU rRNA". It matches the Rfam family "Bacterial small subunit ribosomal RNA", at positions 359 to 917 of the family's 1533-position model. The record is from RNAcentral.
GGANUUGGAAAUGGGGGAACCCUGAUCCAGCCAUGCCGCGUGAGUGAUGAAGGCCCUAGGGUUGUAAAACUCUUUCGGCGGGGACGAUAAUGACGGUACCCGCAGAAGAAGCUCCGGCUAACUUCGUGCCAGCAGCCGCGGUAAUACGAAGGGGGCUAGCGUUGUUCGGAAUUACUGGGCGUAAAGCGCGCGCAGGCGGUCCUUCAAGUCAGGGGUGAAAGCCCAGGGCUCAACCCUGGAAUGGCCUUUGAGACUAGAGGACUUGGGUACGGGAGAGGUGAGUGGAAUUCCGAGUGUAGAGGUGAAAUUCGUAGAUAUUCGGAAGAACACCAGUGGCGAAGGCGGCUCACUGGCCCGUUACCGACGCUCAGGCGCGACAGCGUGGGGAGCAAACAGGAUUAGAUACCCUGGUAGUCCACGCCGUAAACGAUGGAUGCUAGCCGUUGGUAAGCAUGCUUAUCAGUGGCGCAGCUAACGCAUUAAGCAUCCCGCCUGGGGAGUACGGCCGCAAGGUUGAAACUCAAAAAAAUUGACGGA